CAAUAGCGUAUAUUAAAGUUGUUGCAGUUAAAAAGCUCGUAGUUGGAUUUCUGGUGAGAUGGAUUAUGUCUAGGUCGAAAGAUCUUGUUCAUGGUUCGUUUUGCCCUUCUUGUCAGGAACCCGCUGAGAUUCGCGUCUUGUCGGUGGAAUGGCAUCGUUUACUGUGAAAAAAUUAGAGUGUUCAAAGCAGGCAUCGCCGUUGAAUACAUUAGCAUGGAAUAAUAAGAUAAGACUUUGGUGGUCUAUUUUGUUGGUUUGCACGCCAAAGUAAUGAUUAAUAGGGAUAGUUGGGGGUAUUCGUAGUCUAUUGCUAGAGGUGAAAUUCUUAAAUUUAUGGAAGACGAACUACUGCGAAAGCAUUUACCAAGGAUGUUUUCAUUAA
This 382-nucleotide ribosomal RNA is filed under the name uncultured eukaryote. Its description in RNAcentral is "partial 18S ribosomal RNA". It matches the Rfam family "Eukaryotic small subunit ribosomal RNA", at positions 592 to 976 of the family's 1831-position model. The record is from RNAcentral.